GACGAAGGAUGCAAGCGUUGUCCGGAUUCAUUGGGUUUAAAGGGUGCGUAGGUGGCCUGGUAAGUCAGUGGUGAAAUCUUCUCGCUUAACGAGAAAACUGCCAUUGAUACUGCUAGGCUUGAGUACAGAUGCCGUUGGCGGAAUAUGACAUGUAGUGGUGAAAUACAUAGAGAUGUCAUAGAACACCGAUUGCGAAGGCAGCUAACGAAACUGUAACUGACACUGAGGCUCGAAAGUGCGGGGAUCAAACAGG
Molecule: ribosomal RNA, 253 nt
Filed under: uncultured bacterium
Lineage: Bacteria
Description: partial 16S ribosomal RNA
Rfam family: Bacterial small subunit ribosomal RNA
Source: RNAcentral